RNAcentral lists this ribosomal RNA (199 nucleotides) under uncultured Syntrophaceae bacterium. RNAcentral's name for it is "partial 16S ribosomal RNA". It matches the Rfam family "Bacterial small subunit ribosomal RNA", at positions 1184 to 1382 of the family's 1533-position model. The record is from RNAcentral. Lineage: Bacteria; Pseudomonadati; Thermodesulfobacteriota; Syntrophia; Syntrophales; Syntrophaceae.
ACUAAGUCCUCAUGGCCUUUAUGCCCAGGGCUACACACGUGCUACAAUGGGUGGUACAAAGAGAUGCAAUCUCGCAAGAGCAAGCAAACCUCAAAAAGCCAUCCUCAGUUCGGAUUGGAGUCUGCAACUCGACUCCAUGAAGUCGGAAUCGCUAGUAAUCGCGGAUCAGCACGCCGCGGUGAAUACGUUCCCGGGCCUU